UCAAUCAGCGAGGGGUGCCGACUGCCAGCCAUGGACCAGUUCCAUGCGUUGACCGGCUGAGAAUCCAAACCCUUAGAACCUGAUCCGGGUCAUGCCGGCGGAGGGACUGCUGCGACUUCUUGUU
Molecule: regulatory RNA element, 124 nt
Organism: Phytophthora ramorum (sudden oak death agent)
Lineage: Eukaryota; Oomycota; Peronosporomycetes; Peronosporales; Peronosporaceae
Rfam family: TPP riboswitch aptamer (THI element)
About the family: Vitamin B(1) in its active form thiamin pyrophosphate (TPP) is an essential coenzyme that is synthesised by coupling of pyrimidine and thiazole moieties in bacteria. The previously detected thiamin-regulatory element, thi box was extended, resulting in a new, highly conserved RNA secondary structure, the THI element, which is widely distributed in eubacteria and also occurs in some archaea.
Source: Rfam